This 239-nucleotide ribosomal RNA is filed under the name uncultured bacterium. RNAcentral's name for it is "partial 16S ribosomal RNA". It matches the Rfam family "Bacterial small subunit ribosomal RNA", at positions 99 to 334 of the family's 1533-position model. The record is from RNAcentral.
CGAACGGGUGAGUAAUACGUGAGUGACCUACCUUUGACUCUGGGAUAAGCCUGGGAAACUGGGUCUAAUACCGGAUACGACCAAUCUCUGCAUGGGGUGUUGGUGGAAAGCGUUAUGGAGUGGUUUUAGAUGGGCUCACGGCCUAUCAGCUUGUUGGUGAGGUAAUGGCUUACCAAGGCGACGACGGGUAGCCGGCCUGAGAGGGUGACCGGCCACACUGGGACUGAGACACGGCCCAG